UACAGAGGUCUCAAGCGUUGUUCGGAUUCAUUGGGCGUAAAGGGUGCGUAGGCGGCGCGGUAAGUCGGGUGUGAAAUCUCGGGGCUUAACUCCGAAACUGCAUUCGAUACUGCCGUGCUUGAGGACUGGAGAGGAGACUGGAAUUUACGGUGUAGCGGUGAAAUGCGUAGAUAUCGUAAGGAAGACCAGUGGCGAAGGCGGGUCUCUGGACAGUUCCUGACGCUGAGGCACGAAGGCCAGGGGAGCAAACGAG
Molecule: ribosomal RNA, 253 nt
Filed under: uncultured bacterium
Lineage: Bacteria
Description: partial 16S ribosomal RNA
Rfam family: Bacterial small subunit ribosomal RNA
Source: RNAcentral